Long non-coding RNA from Varroa destructor (honeybee mite), 1562 nucleotides. NCBI's taxonomy places the organism in Eukaryota, Metazoa, Arthropoda, Arachnida, Mesostigmata, Varroidae. The record is from RefSeq and is a predicted model, not a curated record.
UCCUGCCGAGAUUCGUUAGAUGUGGACGUUCUGUCUGUAGCUUGCACAUACUCACGAGACGUGUAGGAAUUAUAUAGAAGAGUCUAUUGAGAAAGUUCUGACAGUGAAUCGGGCGAUCAGCCUAAGAGAAGAAGGACACGACUGUUGUGAGAAGUUCGAUAAAUCGUCGAUCGCGCUACUCGAGGCGUUAGUUCAGACGGCUAGCUCUCUCCACGAAGCCAAGUGUGUUUACUUCGAUUCCGAGAACUUGAAUCCAGAACACCACGCGGUUUUAAGUUUGGCAGACAAACAUGCUGCUCAUUACGCUGUCACAGAGACGCGCUAUAAGGAUAUUGCCUUACCCAUCUGUAUGUACCCGACAGGGGCACUGGAUCGUCCGCUCCUGACACAGCUCUAAGCACUGUAUCUUGGCUGACUGAGUUAUGACCAUGCGUCGCAGGUCUUCAGUUAGCAAACAAUGUACAUUGGACAUAGCAUACCAAGUGAGACUCAAGCAACCAUGGUGAGUACGAUAUCCUGUACUAGAUAACUAACUUAAAUGAGUCGCCGAGUGUUAGAGAACGUGUUUUGACUUUUGCACACGUCUAUUGUAAUACCCGUAGAGCAAUGCAGAUAGACUUAAUUUGGUCGGGCUACCGUUCCGUACUUGGAAUGGAAAUAGGUUUCUGUUAGGUCACCAUUUCACUGAUAGCGCAUUCAGUACUUAGCCAUUUAGACUAUACCACUGGACUGUCAAAUAUCAUAGUCAUUGGCUUGCUAGCACUUUCUCUCAUAGUCCGUAUAAAAGAUUCUCGCUUACUUAGCUUGUGUUUAUUUUUAGAUAGAUUACCAAGAGAGUUCCCAAUUACAUAAGUCUAAACAGAUAAAGAAAAUCCCCCCAUUACCGUGGCUUUAACAAUGGUUAUUUAAUUUUCAGUCUCAGCUGCUUCGGCAAAUCCUAUCAGUAAUGUUUUGGGACUGAGCGAAAUAUCGAAGUGGAGGGUGAUCAUAAUGUACUUUAUCCCUUUAGAAUUGGACAAAAAGGCUAACCAACCGGAAAGGACGCCUUUUCUCUAGUUGUUUUUAUGUAACUAAUUGUAUUUCGAUCUAUGCGACCUCACCAAAUGAUUAAACUUCAAUUUUUCCAUUGUUUUUUAAAUAAUUAAGGGAGUUUCUUAAAUUUUUUCUAAAUUAGGCAUGUUUUCUUCAUUACUUGCAAGAACUAUUCUAACCAGCAUAAUGCAGGUUUUAGCUUUCACCCCUCAGGGCCGAUUGUGCGUAAGUGUUAAAAGAUCGCUCUGAUCGGCAAGUAUUGAAUUCGGUUUGAAAACAAUUUUGAGCUGAAAAUUUAAGUUCUAUACGCUUUAAAUUUGGAGAAUCAGUAUAACUGCCCAUCUAACUUUCGUCGGAAGUAAGUUUGCGUCAGGGCAUAUACCGUGUAAAUUCAAAUAUACCUUAACAGCAUAUAUUCUGCUCGUUUACAGGCCGUAGCAUAGCCGAAUCUCACAAAUGCUAUAUUUGUUCGGCACGUUAGAGAUUGAUUCAUGUCUGAUAAAAUAAACUUGAGUAAAUGAACAAUCAUA